AGGGUCUGUUUGCGAGCUCACAGAAGCUGCAAUGGUCUCAGUUUGACUACUGCUGAGUUGCUGUACCUUGUUGUUAAACUGUUGUAGCCCUGGGGAAAGAAAGGGGUCUAACAAAACUUCGCUGAGCAGAGGAUCUUUAUCUGAUGUAAGGCAGAUGUUUAACCAGCAUAGAAGAUAUCUCGCCCAGGCGACAGUCUCUACCUUGUGUUGACCUCCCUCUAGACGCAAGGCCGCAUAGGGUACACAGCGUGGGACAGUAAAAAUCUUGAAGAGGAAAGCUGCCUGCACCCAUUCUACCAACUGGGUAAACCCUGGCGGCCAGACUGGAAUACCAUAGAGCAAUUGAGCUAUAAUUUUGGCAUUGAAGACCUUAAGGGCAGAAGGGAUAUGAGAAUUACCUCUUGUUAUGAAAAAAUGCAUUAGACAUCUUACUGGCAUUCACCGCCGUUGCACGGUGCGUGGACCAGAGCAGCCUAUGAUGGAAUUUAAUUCCCAGAUAGUUGAAUUCAAAUACCUGCUGAAGGGUUUUCCACCAAAUACCUAGCUAUAGCUCUUGCGUGAAUUCCCCCAAACCAUUAUUUUGCUUUUGUCAAAGUUCAUGCACAAUUUCAUGAUUUGUUUUGGAUCUUUGUACAGUAUGUGAUGCCAAUAAAAGGUUUGAUGAUGAUGAUGAC
This is a non-coding RNA of Podarcis lilfordi (Lilford's wall lizard), 674 nucleotides long. NCBI's taxonomy places the organism in Eukaryota, Metazoa, Chordata, Lepidosauria, Squamata, Lacertidae. The record is from the annotation of a GenBank genome assembly.